This 268-nucleotide non-coding RNA is filed under the name Peptostreptococcus anaerobius. Its description in RNAcentral is "T-box sequence". It matches the Rfam family "T-box leader". Rfam says of the family: Uncharged tRNA acts as the effector for transcription antitermination of genes in the T-box leader family. Lineage: Bacteria; Bacillati; Bacillota; Clostridia; Peptostreptococcales; Peptostreptococcaceae. The record is from RNAcentral.
AAUAAAGCUAUGAUAGAGAAAAGUAUUAUCUAAAAUAUAAUUCAGAGAGUAGUUGGUCGGUGAAAAACUAUUUGUAUUUGGAUAAGAAGUUCCCUCUGGAGCAGCUUGGUUGAACACUAGAUAAGUAGGCCAAGACGUGAUGUGCGUUAAACUAUUGAGUGGUUUAUAGAUAUAAUUAGGCUAAGUAUCAAAGUUCAUUUGUAGUCUUAGUCAAAGAUACUAUAGACUAUUAGGGUGGUACCGCGAUUUCAGACCUUUCGUCCCUAUG